This 410-nucleotide ribosomal RNA is filed under the name uncultured microorganism. Its description in RNAcentral is "bacterial SSU rRNA". It matches the Rfam family "Bacterial small subunit ribosomal RNA", at positions 509 to 917 of the family's 1533-position model. The record is from RNAcentral.
CAGCCGCCGCGGUAAUACGUAGGGUGCGAGCGUUCAUCGGAUUUACUGGGCGUAAAACGUGCGCAGGCGGCCCGUUAAGACAGGUGUGAAAUCCCUGGGCUCAACCUAGGAAUUGCGCUUGUGACUGGCGGGCUCGAGUACGGUAGAGGGGGGUGGAAUUCCUGGUGUAGCAGUGAAAUGCGUAGAGAUCAGGAGGAACACCGAUGGCGAAGGCAGCCCCCUGGGCCUGUACUGACGCUCAUGCACGAAAGCGUGGGGAGCAAACAGGAUUAGAUACCCUGGUAGUCCACGCCCUAAACGAUGGGUACUAGCCGUUUGGUGCGCGAGAGCGCUGAGUGGCGAAGCUAACGCGUGAAGUACCCCGCCUGGGGAGUACGGCCGCAAGGUUGAAACUUAAAGGAAUUGGCGGG